This 396-nucleotide ribosomal RNA is filed under the name uncultured bacterium. RNAcentral's name for it is "bacterial SSU rRNA". It matches the Rfam family "Bacterial small subunit ribosomal RNA", at positions 28 to 431 of the family's 1533-position model. The record is from RNAcentral.
GACGAACGCUGGCGGCGUGCUUAACACAUGCAAGUCGAACGGUAAGGCCCUUCGGGGUACACGAGUGGCGAACGGGUGAGUAACACGUGGGUGAUCUGCCCUGCACUUCGGGAUAAGCCUGGGAAACUGGGUCUAAUACCGGAUAGGACCAUGGACUUCACGGUUUGUGGUGGAAAGCUUUUGCGGUGUGGGAUGGGCCCGCGGCCUAUCAGCUUGUUGGUGGGGUAAUGGCCUACCAAGGCGACGACGGGUAGCCGGCCUGAGAGGGUGUCCGGCCACACUGGGACUGAGAUACGGCCCAGACUCCUACGGGAGGCAGCAGUGGGGAAUAUUGCACAAUGGGCGCAAGCCUGAUGCAGCGACGCCGCGUGAGGGAUGACGGCCUGGUUGUAACGU